CGCGUAGGCGGAUUAUUAAGUUAGAGGUGAAAUCCCAGGGCUCAACCCUGGAACUGCCUUUAAUACUGGUAGUCUAGAGUUCGAGAGAGGUGAGUGGAAUUCCGAGUGUAGAGGUGAAAUUCGUAGAUAUUCGGAGGAACACCAGUGGCGAAGGCGGCUCACUGGCUCGAUACUGACGCUGAGGUGCGAAAGCGUGGGGAGCAAACA
RNAcentral lists this ribosomal RNA (207 nucleotides) under uncultured bacterium. Its description in RNAcentral is "partial 16S ribosomal RNA". It matches the Rfam family "Bacterial small subunit ribosomal RNA", at positions 568 to 774 of the family's 1533-position model. The record is from RNAcentral.